UGCUUCCGGAGCGAGUCGUCGAA
This 23-nucleotide microRNA is filed under the name Pristionchus pacificus. RNAcentral's name for it is "ppc-miR-8350-3p". The record is from miRBase by way of RNAcentral. Lineage: Eukaryota; Metazoa; Nematoda; Chromadorea; Rhabditida; Neodiplogasteridae.